This 798-nucleotide ribosomal RNA is filed under the name uncultured Glomeromycotina. Its description in RNAcentral is "SSU rRNA". It matches the Rfam family "Eukaryotic small subunit ribosomal RNA", at positions 314 to 1114 of the family's 1831-position model. The record is from RNAcentral. Lineage: Eukaryota; Fungi; Glomeromycota.
AUCAACUUUCGAUGGUAGGAUAGAGGCCUACCAUGGUGGUAACGGGUAACGGGGUGUUAGGGCACGACACCGGAGAGGGAGCCUGAGAAACGGCUACCACAUCCAAGGAUGGCAGCAGGCGCGCAAAUUACCCAAUCCCGACACGGGGAGGUAGUGACAAUAAAUAACAAUACGGGGUUCUUUCGGAUUUCGUAAUUGGAAUGAGUACAAUUUAAAUCUCUUAACGAGGAACAAUUGGAGGGCAAGUCUGGUGCCAGCAGCCGCGGUAAUUCCAGCUCCAAUAGCGUAUAUUAAAGUUGUUGCAGUUAAAAAGCUCGUAGUUGAAUUUCGGGGUCAGUAAGCUGGUCGUGCCUAUGGUAUGUACUGGCUUUACUGAUUCCUCCUUCUUGAAGAACUGUAAUGUCAUUAAUUUGGUGUUGCGGGGAAACAGGACUGUUACUUUGAAAAAAUUAGAGUGUUUAAAGCAGGCUAACGCUUGAAUACAUUAGCAUGGAAUAAUGGAAUAGGACGUUCGAUUCUAUUUUGUUGGUUUCUAGGAUUGACGUAAUGAUUAAUAGGGAUAGUUGGGGGCAUUAGUAUUCAAUUGUCAGAGGUGAAAUUCUUGGAUUUAUUGAAGACUGACUACUGCGAAAGCAUUUGCCAAGGAUGUUUUCAUUAAUCAAGAACGAAAGUUAGGGGAUCGAAGACGAUCAGAUACCGUCGUAGUCUUAACCAUAAACUAUGCCGACUAGGGAUCGGAUGAUGUUAUUUUUUAAUGACUCAUUCGGCGCCUUACGGGAAACCAAAGUGUUUGGGUUC